GACGAACGCUGGCGGCGUGCCUAAUACAUGCAAGUUGAGCGCUGAAGGUUGGUACUUGUACCAACUGGAUGAGCAGCGAACGGGUGAGUAACGCGUGGGGAAUCUGCCUUUGAGCGGGGGACAACAUUUGGAAACGAAUGCUAAUACCGCAUAAAAACUUUAAACACAAGUUUUAAGUUUGAAAGAUGCAAUUGCAUCACUCAAAGAUGAUCCCGCGUUGUAUUAGCUAGUUGGUGAGGUAAAGGCUCACCAAGGCGAUGAUACAUAGCCGACCUGAGAGGGUGAUCGGCCACAUUGGGACUGAGGCACGGCCCAAACUCCUACGGGAGGCAGCAGUAGGGAAUCUUCGGCAAUGGACGAAAGUCUGACCGAGCAACGCCGCGUGAGUGAAGAAGGUUUUCGGAUCGUAAAACUCUGUUGGUAGAGAAGAACGUUGGUGAGAGUGGAAAGCUCAUCAAGUGACGAUAACUACCCAGAAAGGGACGGCUAACUACGUG
Molecule: ribosomal RNA, 497 nt
Filed under: uncultured bacterium
Lineage: Bacteria
Description: partial 16S ribosomal RNA
Rfam family: Bacterial small subunit ribosomal RNA
Source: RNAcentral